CUCACUGCCGUGCUCACUUUUCAGCGAACAAACACAAUUUAUUUUUUAUUUGCUCUAACAGUUUUUUUUUGUGGUUUUUUUAAAUCUGUCAACAAAUAUGCCCUGUGACUAUUCUGGCAAAAUAGGAAUACUGGAAUCCAGCAUUCAUACAAACAUGUGCACUUGAGCUUCCGUUUUGGCAAGAAAGCAGAGACCUGGCGGAAGGACGGCGGCGUCCAGGCGUAAACAGCGUGGGCGGCCCCGCCCGUCCUGGUCCGGCUCCAUCCAAUCGGGCACUGAUGUGCGGGGGCUGCCCUGACAGAUGGCAGCCUGACCUGGGAGACAAGCCCCCCUGGUCAAGAAGCUUCAGCAGGCUGCAGAUGACAGGUAGACGACAAAAACAAAGCCAAAUGGGUUUGUUGUUUUUUUUUCUUAUGACUCUUCCCAGGUGUGAUUACGCUCCAGUUGAAAAAGCAAAUAACUCAGACUGUCUCCAGGUGGGUUUGACAAUAUUUGCUUUCUUUUGAUAGCAACAAUAUGGAAUAUGACAUUUGUUUUUACAGGAUUUGGUGCACCCAUUUCAUAACAUGCCACUUUGUCAUAUUCCAGCCAUGUAAUCCCGCCGAGCGGGCUGGCCAAGCGUACGCGGCGCGCCGUUCAGAUGUGUCCCGCCGCUCGGAGCCCAGUUGUAAUCCCGCAUUAAACCAGCGUGAGACCUAAUUGAAAUAAUCCCCGCCGACCGGCGCCGGCUUCAGCCGUUGCCAGUUUGCGUGAUGGGUCCAGUUUAACCCGCCGUGUGACUCUGACCUUUCCCUCACUGCUCGCUGGGACCAUCUGAACUCAACCCAGCAAGGACAUCUGGUCCGAUAGCGGGGAGGUGGUUUGUUUCGCCCGGCUGGUCCCGGAGGUCCGCGAAAGACUGUCGCACUUGCUGGAAAUGAGCAACGUUUAUGUAGAUGUUUUUACAUAUUCCUGCAAACAUGUCAAACAGAAGAAGAUCUCGGUGUUCUAGGGCAGAGGAGACAAAAACACUUCUUAUAAAAAAACAAUCCAAAAAAAAAAAAAGAUGGGGCCAGUCCAGCCCGUUUACGGAUGUAAAUAAUGGCCGCUCUUGUCUAUUUCUCUAUAUAAACCAAACGUAUUCUGCUCAAAUACACAAAGUUGAGCUCGUAAACUUUCGGGCUAAAAUGACUCCAAUGUGUUAUUUGGGCUUUUAAACACAUUCAGCAUGUUUAUACAGCCUCACCUGAGUUAUUGUCUCUCUGCAUCUGCAAAGCAUGCUAGCUAACGGUGCACGUGCGCGCGUUCGUUCGUUCGUUGGACUUGAGCGGUGUCCAACACGUGAGAGGUGGCGGUUACGUCAAAGCUGGAAAAAAAAGUCUUCUUCUCCUCUUCCUCUUCUCACCAUUGCUUCGUGCAAUUAUUGAUCUUAUUCAAACACUUUUCAAGGUGUCUUAAUUACUUGCAAAGAAGCGUCGCCUUGGCGUGCAGACAACACAAAUAAGUUGAUUUGCAUUUCUGUGUUGUGAGUGUUUUGGCAGCGCGGCGCCGGUCCAGAUUGUAACCCCCGUUUCUGCCUCCAAGAAGCUGCCUUGGAGGAGCGUCCACGGAGGGAUUUGGGAUUUAGUGGGAAGGUCACAACCUCAUUACAGCUUCAAGGCAGAAAG
Long non-coding RNA from Syngnathus acus (greater pipefish), 1646 nucleotides. RefSeq lists it as uncharacterized. The transcript is spliced from 4 exons. Lineage: Eukaryota; Metazoa; Chordata; Actinopteri; Syngnathiformes; Syngnathidae. The record is from RefSeq and is a predicted model, not a curated record.